This 440-nucleotide ribosomal RNA is filed under the name uncultured bacterium. RNAcentral's name for it is "partial 16S ribosomal RNA". It matches the Rfam family "Bacterial small subunit ribosomal RNA", at positions 355 to 787 of the family's 1533-position model. The record is from RNAcentral.
UAGGGAAUCUUCCACAAUGGACGCAAGUCUGAUGGAGCAACGCCGCGUGAGUGAAGAAGGUCUUCGGAUCGUAAAGCUCUGUUGUUGGUGAAGAAGGAUAGAGGCAGUAACUGGUCUUUAUUUGACGGUAAUCAACCAGAAAGUCACGGCUAACUACGUGCCAGCAGCCGCGGUAAUACGUAGGUGGCAAGCGUUGUCCGGAUUUAUUGGGCGUAAAGCGAGCGCAGGCGGAAUGAUAAGUCUGAUGUGAAAGCCCACGGCUCAACCGUGGAACUGCAUCGGAAACUGUCAUUCUUGAGUGCAGAAGAGGAGAGUGGAACUCCAUGUGUAGCGGUGGAAUGCGUAGAUAUAUGGAAGAACACCAGUGGCGAAGGCGGCUCUCUGGUCUGCAACUGACGCUGAGGCUCGAAAGCAUGGGUAGCGAACAGGAUUAGAUACCC